RNAcentral lists this ribosomal RNA (842 nucleotides) under uncultured archaeon. Its description in RNAcentral is "bacterial SSU rRNA". It matches the Rfam family "Archaeal small subunit ribosomal RNA", at positions 79 to 922 of the family's 1478-position model. The record is from RNAcentral.
AGGCAGACGGCUCAGUAACGCGUAGUCAACCUAACCUAUGGACGGGAAUAACCUCGGGAAACUGAGAAUAAUGCCCGAUAGAACACUAUACCUGGAAUGGUUUGUGUUCCAAAUGAUUUAUCGCCGUAGGAUGGGACUGCGGCCUAUCAGUUUGUUGGUGAGGUAAUGGCCCACCAAGACUAUUACAGGUACGGGCUCUGAGAGGAGUAGCCCGGAGAUGGGUACUGAGACACGGACCCAGGCCCUAUGGGGCGCAGCAGGCGAGAAAACUUUGCAAUGUGCGAAAGCACGACAAGGUUAAUCCGAGUGGUUUGUGCUAAACGAACCUUUUGUCGGUCCUAGAAACACCGAUGAAUAAGGGGUGGGCAAGUUCUGGUGUCAGCCGCCGCGGUAAAACCAGCACCUCAAGUGGUCAGGAUGAUUAUUGGGCCUAAAGCAUCCGUAGCCGGCUCUGUAAGUUUUCGGUCAAAUCUGUACGCUCAACGUACAGGCUGCCGGGAAUACUGCAGAGCUAGGGAGUGGGAGAGGUAGACGGUACUCGGUAGGAAGGGGUAAAAUCCUUUGAUCUAUUGAUGACCACCUGUGGCGAAGGCGGUCUACCAGAACACGUCCGACGGUGAGGGAUGAAAGCUGGGGGAGCAAACCGGAUUAGAUACCCGGGUAGUCCCAGCUGUAAACUAUGCAAACUCAGUGAUGCAUUGGCUUGUGGCCAAUGCAGUGCUGCAGGGAAGCCGUUAAGUUUGCCGCCUGGGAAGUACGUACGCAAGUAUGAAACUUAAAGGAAUUGGCGGGGGAGCACCACAAGGGGUGAAGCCUGCGGUUCAAUUGGAUUCAACGCCGGA